CCCUUAGAUGUUCUGGGCUGCACGCGUGCUACACUGAUUAUUUCAACAAGUGUUUUAACUGGAGAGUUUGCGUAAUCCUGAAAUGUUAUCGUGAUGAGAGUAGAGUAUUGUAUUUGUUAAUCUUUAACGAGGAAUUCCUAGUAAGUGUAGGUUUAUAAGUUGUUCUGAUUACGUCCCUGCCCUUUGUACACGCCGCCCGUCGCUCCUACCGAUUGAUUGAUCCGGUGAAUUACAUAGAAUUUUGCGUUUUACAUGACGGAAGACGAAGUGUUUUAAACCUUAUCAUUUAGAGGAAGGAGAAGUCGUAACA
RNAcentral lists this ribosomal RNA (310 nucleotides) under uncultured eukaryote. RNAcentral describes it as "partial 18S ribosomal RNA". It matches the Rfam family "Eukaryotic small subunit ribosomal RNA", at positions 1470 to 1796 of the family's 1831-position model. The record is from RNAcentral.